Molecule: non-coding RNA, 73 nt
Organism: Paramuricea clavata
Lineage: Eukaryota; Metazoa; Cnidaria; Anthozoa; Malacalcyonacea; Plexauridae
Source: the annotation of a GenBank genome assembly
CUCUCUGUAGCUCAGUUGGUUUGAGCGCUGCACCAGAAUUGCAGGGCGGAAGGUUUGAUUACUGCCACAGGGC